RNA transcript from Mya arenaria, 1378 nucleotides. It is a transcript of the gene named heat shock 70 kDa protein 12B-like, with no coding region annotated. The record is from RefSeq and is a predicted model, not a curated record. The transcript is spliced from 7 exons. Lineage: Eukaryota; Metazoa; Mollusca; Bivalvia; Myida; Myidae.
GUUAUUGCACUGAUUUUGCAAAGAUUACGUAUAAAUUCAAUAUAAAAUUAACUGAAAAAAGAUGAGUGAUACGAAUAUAAAAGAAAUAGUUGUUGCGGCGAUAGAUUUUGGAACGACGUUUUCCGGUUACGCUUACUCUUGGAGGGAGGAGUACUUACAAGAUCCACUGAAGAUCUACGCAAAUCGUUGGGAAGGCGAGACACUUCUGCAGGCACCAACCGUAGUAUUGUUUAACAGUGAUGAGACGGAAUCUUACUUUGGAUUUGAGGCAGAAAAUAAAUACGCUGAACUUAUAGAAGAAGACGAGCAUAAAAAAUUGGCAUUAUUUCCGAAGGUUCAAAAUGGAUCUUCAUAGAAAGAAGCAGAUGCACAAGGUAAAACGAUGCCUGCGAACACAGUUUUUGCCGCUGCCAUGAGACAUUUGAAAAACCAUUUUAUGGAACAGGCUCAAGAAAGGGUUGAGCUCGAGAAGCAUGAAGUUCGAUGGGUGAUUACCGUCCCUGCAAUCUGGAACGAUGCUGCUAAACAAGUCAUGAUAGAAGCGGCUAAAUUGGCUGGAACAAGAAAAGAUAAAUUAACACUUGCAUACGAGCCGGAAGCUGCGGCUAUUUACUGCAAACAAAUAAGACUUGCAAACCUUAGAGAACAGGGCAAAGAUGCAACAAUUCAACCAUUUCCGCCGGGAUUUAAGUUUCUCGUUCUCGAUCUUGGAGGUGGAACUGUUGACAUUACCGCACAUGAAGUGCAAAGAGACGGCACUCUGCAGGCACUGAUUGAACCUUCAGGCGGUGAAUGGGGAGGCACCCUUGUCGAUGAUGGUUUUUUACGUAUAUUCGAAGGCCUCUUUGGGACGGAUUUUAUGACAGACCUAAAGACAAAUAUUAAAAUCGCUGACUCCAAACGUGAACUGGAUGCCGAAAUUGAAAUAAAAAAGAAAACAAUUGUUGGAAAAAGGCAUAAGAACUUCAAGGCUGAAGGCGUUAUUACAUUUAGACUACCACAUGCAAUGAAGAAAGCAAAAAAGUCUGCUCAGUUGAAAAGCGCUCUGGCUAGCGAACAUUUCAUGGGAAAGCUGAGCUUAAAGAGGAUAAAAUUCGGAUUCACAAUUCCUUCUUGUUGUCUGCCUUUGAAAAUUCAGUUUCAAAAAUAGUAGCACAUCUUCGAAUUCUGCUGAGAAAAACCGAGUUGGCAAGUUUGAAUGCUGUGGUAAUGGCGGGUGGAUUUUCAGAGUCGAAAGUAGUAAAGGAAGAAGUCAUGGAAAGUCUUAAAAACACCCCGAAAUAAAGCUGAUUGUUCCUGAGCAUGAAGGUUUAGUUAUUGUGCAAGGAGCUGUAUCAUAUGGAUUUAACCCCAAAAUCAUAUCAACCCGGAAACCAAG